Molecule: microRNA precursor, 188 nt
Filed under: Oryza brachyantha (malo sina)
Lineage: Eukaryota; Viridiplantae; Streptophyta; Magnoliopsida; Poales; Poaceae
Description: MIR812 microRNA precursor family
Rfam family: MIR812 microRNA precursor family
Source: Rfam by way of RNAcentral
AAUAAGAUCAUUUUUCAAUUUUUUGAUACAAUGUUUUGACUCUUCGUUUUAUUUUUUUACGAUUAAUAUUUUUAUUCUUACUUGAUGAUAAAACAUGAAUAGUACUUUAUGCGUGACUAACUUUUUUUAAGUUUUUUUUACAAAAUUUUUAAAUAAGACGAAUGGUCAAACGUUAGACAUGUAAAAAC